GUCCCAGUAGCGCAAUGGGUAGCGCUUUGGACUACUAAUCAAAAGGUCGUGUGUUCGAAUCCCUCCUGGGAUG
Trichonephila clavipes is the source of this 73-nucleotide non-coding RNA. NCBI's taxonomy places the organism in Eukaryota, Metazoa, Arthropoda, Arachnida, Araneae, Nephilidae. The record is from the annotation of a GenBank genome assembly.